RNAcentral lists this long non-coding RNA (1293 nucleotides) under Anser brachyrhynchus (Pink-footed goose). Its description in RNAcentral is "lncRNA (ENSABRG00000001336.1)". Lineage: Eukaryota; Metazoa; Chordata; Aves; Anseriformes; Anatidae. The record is from RNAcentral.
CAUGUCUCCAUUUGUUAAUUUUUCAAAACUGUGUAUGAUUUCUAAAUAAUGCAUCAGAAUUACAUCAGAAUUGCAUCAGAAAUACAAUGAAGCCACCGUUACUAUUUCUCCUUGAAUAUUCCAUGUUCCAAAAAUUACAACACUCAGGAGAUACAUCAUAACUCACAUCUUGAUCUUUUUGAUAUGCCAAUGAGCUGUGCUGGCAGACUUGACUUGAAUCCAACUCUUUAAAGUCUGCCGUGCCUGUUCAUUCUUAUCUGGGUUACUAUUGACCACGAGACAAAGUUCACCAUUCAGCCUUUUUAGAAACAACCUUUUGAAAGUACAAGAUAUUUUGAGAAGCAAACAGAGGAAAUGAAUGAAGUGGCAUGAAUGGCAAUUGGCAGUGCACGCGUUUCAGAGGGUGCUCCAGAGGGAGGGGCUGAGACUACAGUUCUGUUUUGCAAGGACCAUGGUGACCACGAACCCCACAAAACAACUGGCCACUGAAUUUCUGGAUACCUGACAAUAUGGAUAGUCUGCUCUGGGUUAACUUCAUUAGGAACAGCUGUGGCUUGGUGCAGGCACAGAGCUGGACAAAUAUCCAAAAGAGCUACAAUGUCUUCUGCUCUGUCACUGAACACAACAACCUGCUGCUCAGCAGAAGUUUCUCUGAUGAUCUGGAAGGGAAGCACAGAUUCGUGCCAAAAAGAAAUCUGCUGACCUGACACAGGGACUGUUCUCCCACUCUGAUCUUAUAAGUACACAGGUGAGCAAGUAUUAAAUGUGCAGGAGCUCCAUGAUGUCUCCUCGGGAAUUGUUCUCACUUGUUCUCAUUGAUUAACAAUGCUUCAUUUGGCAAAUGUCAUUUCAGUAAGUAGAAAGACUUCUGUUCCUUUAUGCUUCUGUCCUUAUUUCUUAACCUGUCUUACUUCACACUUUGUGUAAAUUCAGCAAUGACUUCUUUGGAUUCUUCCUUCAGCCCAUUCUCUGACCUUCCCAAAGGCUAUCUCCACCCGAGAGCUGUCAAAGUUUUCUGACAGCACAAACCACACACCAUACUGCCUUCUCCUUGAAGUUCUUGGAAAUUUUCCAUUUUCUACCCAACUCACAAAUACCAAUUCCCAUCAGUAUUGUAAUACCAUGCCUCUUUUUGUAGCACACACUGCUAUCCCUAAUCUCCAACUUGUGGGGUUUUGCCUACUUUUUAAAUGUCUAGCUUUUAGGUUAGGGAAAGUGUUUUAGUCUUGCUCUUGGACGGUUUCAAGCUUGCAGUUGAUACUUAGCAAAACAGAAAUAACAGUCUGCAUUUUU